UACGUAGGGUGCGAGCGUUGUCCGGAAUUAUUGGGCGUAAAGAGCUUGUAGGCGGUUUGUCGCGUCUGCUGUGAAAUCUCAAGGCUCAACCUUGAGCUUGCAGUGGGUACGGGCAGACUAGAGUGUGGUAGGGGAGACUGGAAUUCCUGGUGUAGCGGUGAAAUGCGCAGAUAUCAGGAGGAACACCGAUGGCGAAGGCAGGUCUCUGGGCCACUACUGACGCUGAGAAGCGAAAGCCAGGGGAGCGAUCCGG
Molecule: ribosomal RNA, 253 nt
Filed under: uncultured bacterium
Lineage: Bacteria
Description: partial 16S ribosomal RNA
Rfam family: Bacterial small subunit ribosomal RNA
Source: RNAcentral